UCCUACGGGAGGCAGCAGUGGGGAAUCUUAGACAAUGGGCGCAAGCCCUGAUCUAGCCAUGCCGCGUGWGUGAUGAAGGCCUUAGGGUCGUAAAGCUCUUUCGCCAGGGAUGAUAAUGACAGUACCUGGUAAAGAAACCCCGGCUAACUCCGUGCCAGCAGCCGCGGUAAUACGGAGGGGGUUAGCGUUGUUCGGAAUUACUGGGCGUAAAGCGCACGUAGGCGGAUCAGAAAGUAAGGGGUGAAAUCCCAGGGCUCAACCCUGGAACUGCCUCUUAAACUCCUGGUCUUGAGUUCGAGAGAGGUGAGUGGAAUUCCGAGUGUAGAGGUGAAAUUCGUAGAUAUUCGGAGGAACACCAGUGGCGAAGGCGGCUCACUGGCUCGAUACUGACGCUGAGGUGCGAAAGUGUGGGGAGCAAACAGGAUUAGAUACCCUGGUAGUCCACACCGUAAACGAUGAAUGCCAGUCGUCGGGCAGUAUACUGUUCGGUGACACACCUAACGGAUUAAGCAUUCCGCCUGGGGAGUACGGUCGCAAGAUUAAAACUCAAAGGAAUUGACGG
This 562-nucleotide ribosomal RNA is filed under the name uncultured Alphaproteobacteria bacterium. Its description in RNAcentral is "bacterial SSU rRNA". It matches the Rfam family "Bacterial small subunit ribosomal RNA", at positions 337 to 916 of the family's 1533-position model. The record is from RNAcentral. Lineage: Bacteria; Pseudomonadati; Pseudomonadota; Alphaproteobacteria.